RNAcentral lists this non-coding RNA (95 nucleotides) under Novilysobacter concretionis. RNAcentral's name for it is "Lysobacter concretionis Glycine sequence". It matches the Rfam family "Glycine riboswitch aptamer". From Rfam's summary of the family: This family represents the bacterial glycine riboswitch. Glycine riboswitches usually consist of two metabolite-binding aptamers domains with similar structures in tandem. The aptamers cooperatively bind glycine to regulate the expression of downstream genes. Lineage: Bacteria; Pseudomonadati; Pseudomonadota; Gammaproteobacteria; Lysobacterales; Lysobacteraceae. RNAcentral also lists the same sequence under 1 other name. The record is from RNAcentral.
CAACUCUGGAGAGACCGGUUCAAACCGGCGCCGAAGGUGCACGGAGCGCGAGUCAUCGCGCUUCAAACUCUCAGGCAAAAGGACAGAGGGGCGAG